AAAUGUUGCAAACUAUUUAUCUAAUCAUGAUAUGACAUGGCCAGAAAUUGAGGAGAUUUGGAGAAAAACAAUAAACUAUAAGCUACAGUUUAUUACAAAAUAUAAUACUGCAGAAAUAUUUAAUAAAUGGUAACAUUAUACUAAACCAAUGGGAUAUAAGCUUAUAGAUAUUGACUUUCACAAAAUAUAUAGCAGAUACAGUUGUUUUAUAACAAAAUUUGAAGAAGCUUCUUCAAAACUCAUUAAGAUACUGGAUGAACGGAUAAAAGAUUGUUGAAGAAAAAUUAUUAUAGAAAAAUUAAAAAAUACACCAAAUUUAUCCAAUUAUUCAAAAUUUCUGAUAAUAAUGUACUUGUUACACAGUGUGUUAAUUCCUACAUCGAGGAAAGUAACAAGAGACGAGAAUGGAAAAAAAUAUUAUAUCAAAUAUGGGAUCAAAGAUUCUCAAAAUUCAAUUAUUAAAAUUACUAAACAGCAUCAGAAAUGGAAGCCCUUUUUAAAAAAAAUGACGCAGAAAGAAGGCCCUAUCCAACCAUGUAUACUAAUUGUUGGUACAUUAUUCGAUCCUAAUCAAAUUUUAAUAUAUUUUGAUACAGUCAAAUACAUGACUUUUACAAUUUUAAAAGCAUUUGAUGUUUGCUUCAUAAUUUUUCAUGUUUUUAAUGUUGAAUAUCCACA
Molecule: long non-coding RNA, 678 nt
Organism: Aphis gossypii (cotton aphid)
Lineage: Eukaryota; Metazoa; Arthropoda; Insecta; Hemiptera; Aphididae
Exons: 3
Source: RefSeq, a predicted model, not a curated record